This 4276-nucleotide long non-coding RNA is filed under the name Daphnia pulex (common water flea). Its description in RNAcentral is "uncharacterized LOC124194279, transcript variant X3". Lineage: Eukaryota; Metazoa; Arthropoda; Branchiopoda; Diplostraca; Daphniidae. The record is from RNAcentral.
CAGGAUUGCCAAAGUGUUGGCAUGAUGUCAACAACGACUGUUAAUUUAUCCGAAAUUUUAAUUUUGUAUUGAUUUUCCAGGUAAAGAGAUGUGGCCGGCUGGCCGCAAUGAAUAGUUCAAAUUUAAAGCAGAAACAAAUCUUUCAUGUACGUCCAGAUUGUUUACGGCUGCAACCCAGACUUGGAAUCGCCUGCGAAAAGAAGUUUAUCCAAAUUGACGAACGGCAUUUCCACGGCGACAGAAACGACAAACGCCAAAAGGAACGAGAUCACCAAAAUGCCGGCAAAAUUCAUAGCUCCAGAAAUUUCAGUAAAGUAGUAAGGCUUGCGCAGGUGAGAUAUGUAAGCAAACGUGUAAAUGAGGAAUCGGUGGACGAAACCUGUUCCGAAACAGUUAGAGCGUGGCUGGUAAAAUAUUUUAGCAGCACCACAAAGAAAAAUCCAACCUCCAUAUCCGUGAGUGCAGGCGAAUAUGAUCCAACCGAUGGUAAUCGCCCAAGCCGAGUGAUUCAAAACUCCGUAGGAAACCCGAAUAAAAGGGUCGAUGACUGGAACUGUGGCCUCAUCCAGAUAAGGAAACAUUCCCAAAUUUACGGUCUGAACCAAAAGAUUGUUGGUGGUAGAUCGUGAACAACAAAAACAAUCGUGGAGAUUCCCAACAUAACUAAAAGGCUGAACGCUGUCCAAAUGAUUCCGGCCCUCUUCCAGCGCCAAAUUGGAUAAAUGAAGAGCGGACUGAUCAAGAACAUUUGCAUGUCGCAGGCAAGAUACCAAGUCUCUAGGGAAGGCAUUUCAGGAUUUGUCCCCCAGUUUCUUACUGGUUUCACAAAGUUGUUGAUGUACAUCAAGUUGGCCCACCAGGAUUUUCUUAAAGCUUUGCUCUUCUGUACCACAAAAUUCCAGUCAGGACCAGUUCCCACGUACGGAUACAGUGUCGAAAUGAACGCCACUAAAGCUGCAUACACUGGGGAGCAACCUCCCUACUUCACCCCGCCAUUUGGGAAUCCAGGGAAGAAAUCUUUACUCCUCAUCCGCAUUUCCCACGGGCAUACAAAUCGAAACCAAAUGAGAUCGUUGUCGGCUCACCAUUCGACAUCUGAAGCCACUGCUCCAGUCGAUCUCGAAACUGAACGGUGAUAAAAGCGGUAUCUUCGUCCGUUGAUGAAACGCAUAGGGUCGCGUUUCCGAUUUCAGCGUUUCCGGCCCAGCUGAACAAGAUCGCUGUAGCUGUAGCCAACGGCAACAAGCCUUUAUCACCGACAUUAUACCAGUGGCCUAAAGCACCAGAUCUAGAAACACAAAGGUGAUGGAAUUCCAUCAUCUUUACGGUCAAUUGAGUUCGACCGUAUCACGAAGUGAAACAUCUAGCCCGAUGUCGUUCAAGAUUUCCAUCAUGGCCCCAAGAAUAACUCGCCUGAUUGGGUGUAUGACUCGUUUUUCCGCACAAACUGCCCCAAAUCCUUUAGCGAAUUCGCUUUGUAAGUUCGAACCCUCUGUGCAUGUCGCACUAAGAAGAAAGGGGCGACCAAAACCGGCAACAUAGGCAUGGACUAAAACCGGCCAGGGAAGUCGCCCGUCACAGAGGAGUGAAGAUGGCUUGGAACUUUAGAGUUAAACCUGCCGACCGGCCGGUCAGCUUGCAUGUCUUUCACGCUUGAAGGUCGCGGGGAACAUUACGUGUAAAACUGUCAAUGCGGUAGUGUAGAGGUUGGGUGAGAACUGGACGUUUUGCAUCAUUAUCAAGCAGGUGCAAUAGCCGCAAGGCUCAGCCAUUUGGUAUUCAUUUUGAUAUUGGGUUUUGUAGACCCAUCCCCAGCAACGUCAACCUAAAGAAGAAAAGGCCAAUUUGCAUAUCCUUCCCACUCGAAGGUCACAGAGAUCAUUACGGAAAACGUGUCAUGCGACGGCGGAGAGGUUGGGUGAGGACGACACGUGUUAUUAUCAAGUAGGUACAAUAGCCGCAAGGCUUAAUAUGUGGAUCAGGAUAAGAAAGAAAUCGUUUAAAAGGAGAGAGAAACGGCCACAGAAAUUAGGUCAGUGAUCACCUCCGACACGGCAACAACUGUAGUGCACUGUCUGUCACCAACUGCCUCCUUCAUCGCAUCGUACAACCAAUUCGCAAUCAUGGUAAACUAUGGCGUUGUGCUGCUGUUGGAUGUUGAAUCGUUGAUGGCUGGGUCGACAAGACAUCUGGUGUACCGAUGUCUCCUGGGUAUGGGGGAUAUCAAAGCACAACACUGCCGCUUUAUUACUCGACAUCAACCAACGCUGCUCCAUCUUAUUACACCACGGCUCCAAAGUACUACACCACCAAGGAGAGAAAAGGCGAUUAUUACACUUUAUAUUAUAACUCGACAUAGCUUAUUAUACCGCCGAAGUGGUAGACUACUACACCAAAGCCCAAGUACUACACUGCAACCUACGCUGCCCCAGGUUACACCACGAAGGCACCGGAAUACUACAACAUAACCUUCUUUGCCCCAAAGACACCCGAUCUGCACAACCACAUCUGAGGCGGCAAAGUAUUACUACACAGCGCCUUCAAUUUUAUAGUAAGGUGGCAGCGUACCAUUGUCUUAUGUUAACGGUUUUGAAGUGAGCUAGAUAUAUUUCUUAGAAUUUGUUAUGUGUUUUUUCGUUCCAAUUUCGUCGGGUUGGAGAGAGCUAAAGAUGUUUAUUGUUUAAGAUUCAAUUAAAAUUUAUUGCAUGUUGAGUUUGAGUUUUCCUGAAAAUGAUCAGCUAUUUUUCAUUAGUAGAUAAAUUUGAAGUUAGAAGAGUUGGAAAUCUUAUGUAUAGUAUUAAAUAUAGGAAAUUUUAUGAGAAGUUGUUUCAUAUAAAAGUGAUAAUUUAUGAUCACAUCACAAUGAUAAUACUACAGCAUGCAAAACCUCAAAUGUAUCAAUAUCUUGCAUUUUCCUAAAUUAUAACUCAGCAAAUGGUGUUCACCACAAUCACUUUAGUAGUAUAGCUUGCAAUUGUCCUCAACAUAAGCAUAGAAUUGGAUCUGGGAAAUAUUUUGGAGAUUUACUACGACUUGAUUGCAAAAAGUUAACCUGAAAUGUGAAAUGUGAUACUUAUUAUAUGCCACAGUAAUAAUUUUAAAUGCUGGAUAGAAUAAGUAACUUGCAAAUAGAAACUAUUUGGCUUUAAAGACAAAGCUUGAGAUAUUGGAUUCUGCACCUAAACCUAGGUCAACUUCAGCUGAAAUUUUCUGAAAACACUGAUCCAAGAAUGCAAUAAUAAUCAUUAGCAAAAUUUUGUGUUAUUUAAAACCAGUUAAAACUACCUCAAAAUCCUAAUUUGAAUUUGUUUGGGUUUUUUAAAGUAACUUUUAACUUAAGAUGAGUAUGGUGUAACUUAGGAACAGACGAAGUUUCCCAAAAGGAAUCUAUUUAGUAGGGCUUUUAGCCCAGUCAAACUGUCACAUUCCAAUGCUGCUCUCCAAUUAUCAAUGGCCAUCGAAACCUACAGAAAAAAAGAAAGAUAUAUCACAGGUAAGGUCAAGUGCAGAAUGACAGGAAUAAAGCUAAAAGGGUGAUACAGGUGAUUAUUAAUUUAAUUAGAUGCCCAGUCCCUAGAGUGAGGAUCAAAUGAGCCAGGAACAUCUGCUGUUGUUGUUGUAAGACAGUAGUGUGGAAUGGAUUUUUCAUCUUCACCAUAAUUUGUGAUUGACUGAACGUUUGGUAUUGGCUUGUAGACAUAGCCUAGUAGUGUCCACAAUGAAUAGAAACACAUUCUGAAUAACUGGCAGGGUUACCUUACCAACUGGGUGUUUUACUGUUUUCCUUUCACCAAUCCACUGCUGUCCAGCACUGUUGCCCAGCAGGCAGCAGGUGCUGAAACGUCUAGAAUCACUUGCAGACAACAUGAACGGAUAAUCGGAUAUCUUGAGUGCCUUCUCCUCAGUGUUGAAGAAGUGUUGUAAAAGUUGGACUGGCAUCCAUUAACACCUUGGGGAUUUCGUCUGUUGUGAUUUGUCAUGUGUGAUGCUGCGUGGUGGCUUCUUGGUGAAAUUUGGCAGGGAGAAUAUUACGAGAAAAUGUGAAAGGGGAAUGCAGCCUACUGUCAACUACUGUGUUUAAAUCCUGGGAUCCUACUGAAUGUGUCAUCCAAAUGACAGAGGAUUCAUCUUAAUUACGACUGAUUCUAUUAGACUUGCACCAACCCCAGCAUGGACCAAUCUCUCAUUCCAUCUUCUAGAGAACCUUGGAUAACUGAUUGGUGGUUUUGUGUGUAAGUUUAUUGUUCAUGUCACCAAACUUUCUUUGUUUCAGUCU